This 29-nucleotide non-coding RNA is filed under the name Mus musculus (house mouse). The record is from RNAcentral. Lineage: Eukaryota; Metazoa; Chordata; Mammalia; Rodentia; Muridae.
AACAGUAACUGUGAGCUGUCCACGCGGGU